UGUACGAGUGGAACUGGACAAGGUUUUACAUGGACCGUGGUAUCGACUGCCUUGGCGACAUUAUUGCGGGUGCGUUGACAGGCAGCACGGUGCCGGGGACAGGAAAGAGAGUGCAUCCUCAACCAUGCCGAUCUCGGAGUGUGCUCGUCGGCAGUGGUGGAGAUGGAAUUUUCCUUCAGAUCCAGUUGACAGGCUACCAAAAAUCUUCGCGGAGGACACGGCUGCAAUGGCGGCGCCUGCCUUGCCGGAUGCAACGGAUAGCAGACGGCGAGUGUGGCCGCAGAUAUCUGCGACGCAGUGGCCGGGAGCAAGAGCGAAGCGCAUAAUGUGGAACUAGUUGCAACAGCAGAGAUGCCGCAUUCAGUGGGUGCUGAUCAACUCGUUGUGAUCCAAGAGAGGGAGGACAGUCACGAACUCACGAUGCGGCGUGUGCUCAAUCCACAUGGAAGAUGGAUCCCCAAGCCCCGGGCUGGAAGAAGUGGUUAAACGCUGCAAGUUUUCUAUGCCUGCUGCUUGACAUGUACGAUCUGGGCUGAGAUCCACAUAACCUGUUAGACUUGACUUAUCAGUCUUGAAAGCAACCGUUCAGAGAGGAACAUAGGAGAAAAACGAAAAUUUGUAGAACUAUCUCUUGGCAGUGCUUAAAGCUUCGUUAUGUUUA
Hordeum vulgare subsp. vulgare (domesticated barley) is the source of this 661-nucleotide long non-coding RNA. RefSeq lists it as uncharacterized. Lineage: Eukaryota; Viridiplantae; Streptophyta; Magnoliopsida; Poales; Poaceae. The transcript has 2 exons. The record is from RefSeq and is a predicted model, not a curated record.